UAACUUGAGGACCGAACCGACUAAUGUUGAAAAAUUAGCGGAUGACUUGUGGCUGGGGGUGAAAGGCCAAUCAAACCGGGAGAUAGCUGGUUCUCCCCGAAAGCUAUUUAGGUAGCGCCUCGUGAAUUCAUCUCCGGGGGUAGAGCACUGUUUCGGCAAGGGGGUCAUCCCGACUUACCAACCCGAUGCAAACUGCGAAUACCGGAGAAUGUUAUUACGGGAGACACACGGCGGGUGCUAACGUCCGUCGUGAAGAGGGAAACAACCCAGACCGCCAGCUAAGGUCCCAAAGUCAUGGUUAAGUGGGAAACGAUGUGGGAAGGCCCAGACAGCCAGGAUGUUGGCUUAGAAGCAGCCAUCAUUUAAAGAAAGCGUAAUAGCUCACUGGUCGAGUCGGCCUGCGCGGAAGAUGUAACGGGCUAAACCAUGCACCGAAGCUGCGGCAGCGACACUAUGUGUUGUUGGUAGGGGAGCGUUCUGUAAGCCUGUGAAGGUGUACUGUGAGGUAUGCUGGAGGUAUCAGAAGUGCGAAUGCUGACAU
RNAcentral lists this ribosomal RNA (541 nucleotides) under Escherichia coli. RNAcentral's name for it is "bacterial LSU rRNA". It matches the Rfam family "Bacterial large subunit ribosomal RNA", at positions 763 to 1303 of the family's 2925-position model. The record is from RNAcentral. Lineage: Bacteria; Pseudomonadati; Pseudomonadota; Gammaproteobacteria; Enterobacterales; Enterobacteriaceae.